This 253-nucleotide ribosomal RNA is filed under the name uncultured bacterium. RNAcentral's name for it is "partial 16S ribosomal RNA". It matches the Rfam family "Bacterial small subunit ribosomal RNA", at positions 524 to 776 of the family's 1533-position model. The record is from RNAcentral.
UACGAAGGGGGCUAGCGUUGCUCGGAAUCACUGGGCGUAAAGCGCACGUAGGCGGUUUCUUAAGUCGGGGGUGAAAUCCUGGAGCUCAACUCCAGAACUGCCUUCGAUACUGAGAGACUUGAGUCCGGGAGAGGUGAGUGGAACUGCGAGUGUAGAGGUGAAAUUCGUAGAUAUUCGCAAGAACACCAGUGGCGAAGGCGGCUCACUGGCCCGGUACUGACGCUGAGGUGCGAAAGCGUGGGGAGCAAACAGG